AUCUUAUUGGUUGAAAUUACGUCAGUAUAUUUGCAAAUUUCCCUGCUCUUUUCAACAGUUCACUGAUUCACCUGGUCAUUGAGCUAUCUUUGUGCCAAAACCUUUGAUUUUUUAAGCCUUUAAAAGUUUAAUAAACGUUGAAAUAUCAGUUAAAACGGAUGGGCAACUUAAAAAAGUUUGAAGAAUACUACAGUUCGACGUUUUAAUAAAGACUUGGAUGGCAAGCAAGACCCUCGCCACAGCAGACAGGAUGGAGUUUCCUCAACGAAUUUGAUUAUCAAACUGGAGCUAAACUGAGGUAUUGGCCGGAAAGUCGUAUCAAACAAAGUGAAU
Molecule: long non-coding RNA, 333 nt
Organism: Dendronephthya gigantea
Lineage: Eukaryota; Metazoa; Cnidaria; Anthozoa; Malacalcyonacea; Nephtheidae
Exons: 3
Source: RefSeq, a predicted model, not a curated record